CGGGUGAGUAAUGUAUGGGGAUCUGCCUGAUGGCGGGGGAUAACUACUGGAAACGGUAGCUAAUACCGCAUAACGUCGCAAGACCAAAGAGGGGGACCUUAGGGCCUCUUGCCAUCGGAUGUGCCCAGAUGGGAUUAGCUAGUAGGUGGGGUAACGGCUCACCUAGGCGACGAUCCCUAGCUGGUCUGAGAGGAUGACCAGCCACACUGGAACUGAGACACGGUCCAG
RNAcentral lists this ribosomal RNA (228 nucleotides) under uncultured bacterium. RNAcentral describes it as "partial 16S ribosomal RNA". It matches the Rfam family "Bacterial small subunit ribosomal RNA", at positions 103 to 334 of the family's 1533-position model. The record is from RNAcentral.